CGGUGGAGAAUAGAGCUUCUUUUUAUAGGAAAAGCUGAAAAACGCCCAACUACCUUGUUUGACUGCCCAGCUGCUUGCUUGGGGCUGUUUGGCCCUCCCAAAGUUGGUGGGUCAGUAGCUUGCCACCCCUAGUGGCCAGCCUAUUAUGGGCUAGGCCCAUGCAAAGUGGCACCUCCUACUUACUUGUCAUAGCUUAGGUCAUGCAUGAGGUAAUGUGCUUGGUCUUCAAGUAAAGGAAUGGCAAGUUGCUUGGUGAGUUGGCCUAGCUUUCUUCAUGGUGAGGUUUUGUGUGGUUUGUUGGGAG
This 304-nucleotide long non-coding RNA is filed under the name Lupinus angustifolius (narrow-leaved blue lupine). RNAcentral's name for it is "long non-coding RNA (LANG_LNC002218)". Lineage: Eukaryota; Viridiplantae; Streptophyta; Magnoliopsida; Fabales; Fabaceae. The record is from RNAcentral.